AUGCAACGGGGUAAGCGCUGCAGUGUAGCACCGCCGGCACCGUCGACAACAGGAAUGAAGCUUCACCGGCGAGCCGGAGCUGUGAUGCGGUGGGCAGUGCUUCAAUGGAGCUUCAGCGGCGGCUACAAUGGAGCUCCACCGGCGGCCCUGAGUCGCGAUGGAGUGGUGUUGAAGUUGCAGUGUAGCAUCACCGGCGCCGUCGACGACAGCGAUGAAGCUUCAUCGGGGCUGCAGUGUAGCUUCAUCUUCGGCAGUGGGAAGGGGGUGCGGCUCCUGCCGCUGAGCAUGCAGUGCUGCGUCCAUGUGGCGACGCGGUUGGUGGUCGCGUUGACCUGA
This 336-nucleotide ribosomal RNA is filed under the name Triticum aestivum (bread wheat). RNAcentral describes it as "partial small subunit ribosomal RNA". The record is from RNAcentral. Lineage: Eukaryota; Viridiplantae; Streptophyta; Magnoliopsida; Poales; Poaceae.